Long non-coding RNA from Malurus melanocephalus (red-backed fairy wren), 170 nucleotides. RefSeq lists it as uncharacterized. The transcript is spliced from 2 exons. NCBI's taxonomy places the organism in Eukaryota, Metazoa, Chordata, Aves, Passeriformes, Maluridae. The record is from RefSeq and is a predicted model, not a curated record.
GCACGAGGCCGAACAGCGUCAGUGGCGCCUCAGGAACCACCUGCAAUUGGCAGCCAAAGGUCCUCUGAGGCAAACGUUGGCCCAGAACCCCCUGAGGGCCCCCGAGACCUCGACCAAAACCCCUCAGGAAACCCCAAAAAGGCCCUGGAAGGAAACUUUGGGGUGACCCC